UGGGGAAUUUUGGACAAUGGGGGCAACCCUGAUCCAGCCAUGCCGCGUGAGUGAAGAAGGCCUUCGGGUUGUAAAGCUCUUUCGGCCGGGAAGAAAUCGCACAGGCUAAUAUCCUGUGUGGAUGACGGUACCGGCAUAAGAAGCACCGGCUAACUACGUGCCAGCAGCCGCGGUAAUACGUAGGGUGCGAGCGUUAAUCGGAAUUACUGGGCGUAAAGCGUGCGCAGGCGGUGAUGUAAGACAGAGGUGAAAUCCCCGGGCUCAACCUGGGAACUGCCUUUGUGACUGCAUCGCUGGAGUACGGCAGAGGGGGAUGGAAUUCCGCGUGUAGCAGUGAAAUGCGUAGAGAUGUGGAGGAACACCGAUGGCGAAGGCAGCCCCCUGGGUCGAUACUGACGCU
RNAcentral lists this ribosomal RNA (400 nucleotides) under uncultured bacterium. Its description in RNAcentral is "bacterial SSU rRNA". It matches the Rfam family "Bacterial small subunit ribosomal RNA", at positions 355 to 747 of the family's 1533-position model. The record is from RNAcentral.